This 120-nucleotide ribosomal RNA is filed under the name uncultured bacterium. Its description in RNAcentral is "partial 16S ribosomal RNA". It matches the Rfam family "Bacterial small subunit ribosomal RNA", at positions 29 to 159 of the family's 1533-position model. The record is from RNAcentral.
AACGAACGCUGGCGGCAGGCCUAAUACAUGCAAGUCGAACGCCGUAGCAAUACGGAGUGGCAGACGGGUGAGUAACGCGUGGGAACCUUCCCAGUGGUACGGAAUAGCCCGGGGAAACCC